UAAGGAUUUAUAACAAAUUU
This 20-nucleotide microRNA is filed under the name Drosophila virilis. RNAcentral's name for it is "dvi-miR-9546-5p". The record is from miRBase by way of RNAcentral. Lineage: Eukaryota; Metazoa; Arthropoda; Insecta; Diptera; Drosophilidae.